This 74-nucleotide transfer RNA is filed under the name Candidatus Scybalocola faecavium. Its description in RNAcentral is "tRNA-Pro". It matches the Rfam family "tRNA". Rfam says of the family: Transfer RNA (tRNA) molecules are approximately 80 nucleotides in length. Lineage: Bacteria; Bacillati; Bacillota; Clostridia; Lachnospirales; Lachnospiraceae. The record is from RNAcentral. RNAcentral also lists the same sequence under 1 other name.
CGGGGUGUAGCACAGUUUGGUAGUGCGCUUGAAUGGGGUUCAAGAGGUCGCAAGUUCGAAUCUUGUCACUCCGA